This 70-nucleotide transfer RNA is filed under the name Camelus bactrianus (Bactrian camel). It matches the Rfam family "tRNA". From Rfam's summary of the family: Transfer RNA (tRNA) molecules are approximately 80 nucleotides in length. Their secondary structure includes four short double-helical elements and three loops (D, anti-codon, and T loops). Lineage: Eukaryota; Metazoa; Chordata; Mammalia; Artiodactyla; Camelidae. The record is from Rfam by way of RNAcentral. RNAcentral also lists the same sequence under 2 other names.
GAGGGUAGAGCUCAGUGGUAGAGCAUGUGCUAGCAUGCACAAGGCCUGGGUUCAAUCCCUGGUACCUUCA